AACGAACGCUGGCGGCAUGCCUAACACAUGCAAGUCGAACGAGACCUUCGGGUCUAGUGGCGCACGGGUGCGUAACGCAUGGGAACCUGCCCUUAGGUUCGGAAUAACUCCCCGAAAGGGGUGCUAAUACCGGAUAAUGUCUUCGGACCAAAGAUUUAUCGCCUUUGGAUGGGCCCGCGUUGGAUUAGCUAGUUGGUAGGGUAAAAGCCUACCAAGGCGACGAUCCAUAGCUGGUCUGAGAGGAUGAUCAGCCACACUGGGACUGAGACACGGCCCAGACUCCUACGGGAGGCAGCAGUGGGGAAUAUUGGACAAUGGGCGAAAGCCUGAUCCAGCAAUGCCGCGUGAGUGAUGAAGGCCUUAGGGUUGUAAAGCUCUUUUACCCGGGAUGAUAAUGACGGUACCGGGAGAAUAAGCUCCGGCUAACUCCGUG
This 433-nucleotide ribosomal RNA is filed under the name uncultured bacterium. RNAcentral describes it as "partial 16S ribosomal RNA". It matches the Rfam family "Bacterial small subunit ribosomal RNA", at positions 29 to 507 of the family's 1533-position model. The record is from RNAcentral.